CGGGACGGGUGAGUAACGUGUGGGCAACCUGCCCUAUACUGGGGAAUAAUCACUGGAAACGGUGACUAAUACCGCAUGUCAUUACGGAAGGGCAUCCUUCUGUAAGAAAAGGAGUAAUUCGGUAUAGGAUGGGCCCGCAUCUGGUUAGCUAGUUGGUGAGAUAACAGCCCACCAAGGCGACGAUCAGUAGCCGACCUGAGAGGGUGAUCGGCCACAUUGGGACUGAGACACGGCCCAA
Molecule: ribosomal RNA, 238 nt
Filed under: uncultured bacterium
Lineage: Bacteria
Description: partial 16S ribosomal RNA
Rfam family: Bacterial small subunit ribosomal RNA
Source: RNAcentral